CUGCGAAUGGCUCAUUAUAUAAGUUAUCGUCUAUUUGAUAGUACCUUACUACUUGGAUAACCGUGGUAAUUCUAGAGCUAAUACAUGCUGAAAAUCCCGACUUCGGAAGGGAUGUAUUUAUUGGAUUAAAAAACCAAUGCCCCUGUGGGCUCUCUGGUGAUUCACGAUAACUUCUCGAAUCGCAUGGCCUUGCGCCGGCGAUGGUUCAUUCGAAUUUCUUCCCUAUCAACUUUCGAUGUUUGGGUAGUGGCCAAACAUGGUUACAACGGGUAACGGAGGGUUAGGGCUCGACCCCGGAGAAGGAGCCUGAGAAACGGCUACUACAUCCAAGGAAGGCAGCAGGCGCGCAAAUUACCCAAUCCCGACUCGGGGAGGUAGUGACAAUAAAUACUGAUACAGGGCUCUUUCGGGUCUUGUAAUUGGAAUGAGUACAAUUUAAAUCCCUUAACGAGGAACAAUUGGAGGGCAAGUCUGGUGCCAGCAGCCGCGGUAAUUCCAGCUCCAAUAGCGUAUAUUAAAGUUGUUGUGGUUAAAAAGCUCGUAGUUGAACCUUGGGCCUGGCUGGCCGGUCCGCCUCACCGCGUGUACUGGUCCGGCUGGGCCUUUCCCUCUGUAGAACCCCCAUGCCCUUCACUGGGCGUGGCGGGGAAACAGGACUUUUACUUUGAAAAAAUUAGAGUGCUCCAGGCAGGCCUAUGCUCGAAUACAUUAGCAUGGAAUAAUAAAAUAGGACGUGUGGUUCUAUUUUGUUGGUUUCUAGGACCGCCGUAAUGAUUAAUAGGGACAGUCGGGGGCAUCAGUAUUCAAUUGUCAGAGGUGAAAUUCUUGGAUUUAUUGAAGACUAACUACUGCGAAAGCAUUUGCCAAGGAUGUUUUCAUUAAUCAGGAACGAAAGUUAGGGGAUCGAAGACGAUCAGAUACCGUCGUAGUCUUAACCAUAAACUAUGCCGACUAGGGAUCGGACGAUGUUAUUUUUUGACUCGUUCGGCACCUUACGAGAAAUCAAAG
RNAcentral lists this ribosomal RNA (1008 nucleotides) under Metarhizium purpureonigrum. RNAcentral describes it as "SSU rRNA". It matches the Rfam family "Eukaryotic small subunit ribosomal RNA", at positions 87 to 1103 of the family's 1831-position model. Lineage: Eukaryota; Fungi; Ascomycota; Sordariomycetes; Hypocreales; Clavicipitaceae. The record is from RNAcentral.